This 220-nucleotide ribosomal RNA is filed under the name uncultured bacterium. Its description in RNAcentral is "partial 16S ribosomal RNA". It matches the Rfam family "Bacterial small subunit ribosomal RNA", at positions 1281 to 1500 of the family's 1533-position model. The record is from RNAcentral.
CUAGGUCUCAGUUCGGAUCGCAGGCUGCAACCCGCCUGCGUGAAGUUGGAAUUGCUAGUAAUCGCGGAUCAGCAUGCCGCGGUGAAUAUGUUCCCGGGUCUUGUACACACCGCCCGUCACACCAUGGGAGCCGGGAAUGCCCGAAGUCGGUGACCCAACCGUAAGGAGGGAGCCGCCGAAGGCAGGCCUGGUAACUGGGGUGAAGUCGUAACAAGGUACC